GGGCCGGUAGCUCAGCGGUAGAGCAUCUGACUUUUAAUCAGAGGGUCGCGGGUUCGACACCCGCCCGGCUCACCA
RNAcentral lists this transfer RNA (75 nucleotides) under Rhodospirillaceae bacterium. RNAcentral describes it as "tRNA-Lys". It matches the Rfam family "tRNA". From Rfam's summary of the family: Transfer RNA (tRNA) molecules are approximately 80 nucleotides in length. Their secondary structure includes four short double-helical elements and three loops (D, anti-codon, and T loops). Lineage: Bacteria; Pseudomonadati; Pseudomonadota; Alphaproteobacteria; Rhodospirillales; Rhodospirillaceae. The record is from RNAcentral.